UGAACACACAUAGCACACACUCACUCUGUCCAAGGCAGGAGAUGGGGAGGAGGUGGGAGGGGCUGGGGAAGGGGUAUGGGCUCCAGAGUGCUGGCGGCCAGACAGGACCUACUUCCCGACUCUCCCUGCCCACAGAUUCUGCUGUCCAGCUGCUCCCUGUGCCGUGCCUGUGAUUCACUGGUGUACGAUGAGGAAAUCAUGGCUGGCUGGGCACCUGAUGACUCUAACCUCAACACAACCUGCCCCUUCUGCGCCUGCCCCUUUGUGCCCCUGCUCAGUGUCCAGACCCUUGAUUCCCGGCCCAGUGUCCCCAGCCCCAAGUCUGCUGGUGCCAGUGGCAGCAAAGAUGCUCCUGUCCCUGGAGGUCCUGGCCCUGUGCUCAGCGACCGCAGGCUCUGCCUUGCUCUGGAUGAGCCCCAGCUCUGCAACGGGCACAUGGGGGUAAGGGCUGGGCCAAAGGGGCAUGAGGAAUGGGAAUGUUGCUGUGUGGGGCCUAUGGAGUGCCAGGGAGAGAUGGGCACAUCUCUUGCCCUUGAGGGCAA
This 542-nucleotide small RNA is filed under the name Pongo abelii (Sumatran orangutan). RNAcentral's name for it is "retained intron". Lineage: Eukaryota; Metazoa; Chordata; Mammalia; Primates; Hominidae. The record is from RNAcentral.